This is a regulatory RNA element of 62 nucleotides. It matches the Rfam family "Fluoride riboswitch aptamer (crcB RNA motif)". The record is from Rfam.
AUUGUUGAUGGGGAUGGAGUUCCCCCGAUAACCGCCGCAAGGCUGAUGACUCCUACCGGACG